GACGAACGCUGGCGGCGUGCUUAACACAUGCAAGUCGAACGGAAAGGCCCCCUUGUGGGGUACUCGAGUGGCGAACGGGUGAGUAACACGUGAGUAACCUACCCUUGACUUUGGGAUAACUUCAGGAAACUGGGGCUAAUACCGGAUAGGAGCUCCUGCUGCAUGGUGGGGGUUGGAAAGUUUCGGCGGUUGGGGAUGGACUCGCGGCUUAUCAGCUUGUUGGUGGGGUAGUGGCUCACCAAGGCUUUGACGGGUAGCCGGCCUGAGAGGGUGACCGGCCACAUUGGGACUGAGAUACGGCCCAGACUCCUACGGGAGGCAGCAGUGGGGAAUAUUGCACAAUGGGCGGAAGCCUGAUGCAGCAACGCCGCGUGCGGGAUAACGGCCUUCGGGUUGUAAACCGCUUUCGCCUGUGACGAAGCGUGAGUGACGGUAAUGGGUAAAGAAGCACCGGCUAACUACGUG
RNAcentral lists this ribosomal RNA (465 nucleotides) under uncultured bacterium. RNAcentral's name for it is "partial 16S ribosomal RNA". It matches the Rfam family "Bacterial small subunit ribosomal RNA", at positions 28 to 507 of the family's 1533-position model. The record is from RNAcentral.